Unclassified non-coding RNA from Papio anubis (olive baboon), 148 nucleotides. It matches the Rfam family "Metazoan signal recognition particle RNA". Rfam says of the family: The signal recognition particle (SRP) is a universally conserved ribonucleoprotein. It is involved in the co-translational targeting of proteins to membranes. The eukaryotic SRP consists of a 300-nucleotide 7S RNA and six proteins: SRPs 72, 68, 54, 19, 14, and 9. The record is from Ensembl. NCBI's taxonomy places the organism in Eukaryota, Metazoa, Chordata, Mammalia, Primates, Cercopithecidae.
GCUGGGUGUGGUAGUGCACGCCUGUAAUCCCAGCUACAUAGGAGGCUGAGGCAGAAGAAUCACUUGAACCCAGGAGGCAGAGGUUGCAGUGAGCUGAGAUCAUGCCACUGCACUCCAGCCUGGGUGACAGAAUGAGACUCUGUCUCUA